AAAUGGAUAGCUCAUUCUGGUAGAGCAAUCGACUAAUAAUCGAUCUGUCGCGGGUUCGAUUCCCGCUCCA
This 70-nucleotide transfer RNA is filed under the name Affinundibacterium nitidum. RNAcentral's name for it is "tRNA-Ile". It matches the Rfam family "tRNA". From Rfam's summary of the family: Transfer RNA (tRNA) molecules are approximately 80 nucleotides in length. Their secondary structure includes four short double-helical elements and three loops (D, anti-codon, and T loops). Further hydrogen bonds mediate the characteristic L-shaped molecular structure. tRNAs have two regions of fundamental functional importance: the anti-codon, which is responsible for specific mRNA codon recognition, and the 3' end, to which the tRNAs corresponding amino acid is attached (by aminoacyl-tRNA synthetases). tRNAs cope with the degeneracy of the genetic code in two manners: having more than one tRNA (with a specific anti-codon) for a particular amino acid; and 'wobble' base-pairing, i.e. permitting non-standard base-pairing at the 3rd anti-codon position. RNAcentral also lists the same sequence under 1 other name. Lineage: Bacteria; Pseudomonadati; Pseudomonadota; Betaproteobacteria; Burkholderiales; Oxalobacteraceae. The record is from RNAcentral.